UACAGAGGUCUCAAGCGUUGUUCGGAUUCAUUGGGCGUAAAGGGCGCGUAGGCGGCGGGGUCAGUCGGGUGUGAAAUCUUGGGGCUUAACCCCGAAACGGCACUCGAAACUGCCCGGCUGGAGGGCCGGAGAGGAGAUCGGAAUUCACGGUGUAGCAGUGAAAUGCGUAGAUAUCAGGAAGAACACCGGUGGCGAAAGCGCUCUGCUAGGCCGCAACUGACACUGAGGGACGAAAGCUAGGGGAGCGAAUGGG
This 253-nucleotide ribosomal RNA is filed under the name uncultured bacterium. RNAcentral describes it as "partial 16S ribosomal RNA". It matches the Rfam family "Bacterial small subunit ribosomal RNA", at positions 524 to 776 of the family's 1533-position model. The record is from RNAcentral.